UACGGGGGGAGCAAGCGUUGUUCGGAUUUACUGGGCGUAAAGGGCGCGUAGGCGGCCUCCGCAAGUCAGUUGUGAAAUCUCCGAGCUUAACUCGGAAAGGUCAGCUGAUACUGCGGGGCUAGAGUGCGGAAGGGGCAACUGGAAUUCUUGGUGUAGCGGUGAAAUGCGUAGAUAUCAAGAGGAACACCUGCGGCGAAGGCGGGUUGCUGGGCCGACACUGACGCUGAGGCGCGAAAGCUAGGGGAGCGAACGGG
This 254-nucleotide ribosomal RNA is filed under the name uncultured bacterium. RNAcentral's name for it is "partial 16S ribosomal RNA". It matches the Rfam family "Bacterial small subunit ribosomal RNA", at positions 524 to 776 of the family's 1533-position model. The record is from RNAcentral.